AUUGACCAUUAUUUUUUAUCUUUUUGUUCAGAAUCUGACUUUUCUGUUUUAUUUUUUUUAUUUUUUUAUUUCUCUAAAAUAAAACGAAACCCGUGAAAAUCAAUGCCAUCUUCGAGCUGUCGGACCCGAACCCCUUUACUACCAACUACCAAGGCAAACGAAGGCAGAAGAGACAGAGGAGGAGCAAGAGAGAUGGGGAAGCGAGUCGGGAGCAGGAAUUCGAACGAGUCGGCAUUGACUCGGUGGGUUCAGUCGGUCUUUGGGUUCGUCAAAUUCGCCGAGUUUGAAAUCCUGUUUGUUCUUUUCUUCGUGAUCGCGUUCCUCGUUUUCAAAGAUCUCGUAAGUUAUCUUUCUCUUCUUAUAAUCCAUGCUUUUAGGUUUCCCAAUUCUCGUUAUAUUCUGUUGUUUGGUUGAUAAAGUAAUUUCGAUUCUUGAAAUUGAUUCUGUUCAUAUUGCUAAUCACCUCAUGCGAUAUGUGAAUCUUACACAACGAUUGAAAUAUACAGAUUCUUGCAAUUUGGUAACUUUUUUUUUUUUAUUGAACUUGCCAAAUAAAACUUUUGGGGUAUGUGAUGAAAUUAAAUGAAACUUUUGGAGGUUUUUUAGACGAGUUAUUCUGACUCAGAGUUAUGGAUGAACAUAAGAAAAGCUUAAAUCAGAAACCUUGGGUCCUAUUAAGGUUUGGUAGUAUUCAAAGUUUGUUUCUUUACCUAAGUGGCCAUUCAUAUGAUAAUUUCCACAGUCCUUACACCCCCAAUUUGAUCUUUCAACCUCGGAACUCUUCUUUCAACCUCGCAAUUGUAGUUUGCUCUAGAAGUUAGUUAAGAAAUGGCUCCUUUUCUAGCUAGGCUAGCGUAGCAAGCCCCGUCACAUGGAGUAGCUGAAAUGGAGGUUUGACAUAAGUAAGGAAGGAAGCUAGGCAUAUGCAUUUCUAGGAAGCUAAAAAGUUAAUUGCAAGUGCAUAUAAAGAACAAAAUUCCCUGGCCAUCUCAAGGAAACCUAUACCCAGUACAACUAAGCCAAAAUCUGAUGUGAUCACAGACGUUUCAUUUAUGAAAACGUAAACAAAAACCCAGCAAAGAAACAAUGAAAAUCCACCCCUCCUAGGAACAAAUUCUGAAUACAUCACAUUUUAAUCCCUAUACUUUAAAUUCACUGCUAAACUUUAUUAACAAAUUAAAAAUAUUUUGAGAACCUGAUUGAAUCAUUGGAUGGAAGGUAAUAUUGCUUAUUUUCACCCAAUGCUUGAUGAUUAAGCUACUAUAGAAAUUUAUUGAAGUUGAUGCUUAUUGGAUUACCAGCUUGUAUUAAUUAGAGACCAGAACAAAAAUUGGUAUGAGAAACCCUUGAAAAAGUAAAGGGUAAAAACAACCAGCAAAUGCACCAGGUGAAAAUGAAACAACUAUUUGAUCUUCUGAACCUUCACUUACAUACCAACAAGGUUAUAUGAUUUGUGAUAUAAAGAAGGGCCACUUUAAGGAUCCUCUUUGCUGUUUCAACCUGCUUUUAGUGUCUUUUGGCGAACAAUCUGAUUUUAAGUAUCUUGAUGUUUUGAGUUAUAGAUGUUUCUAAACCUUCCAAGACGGAAGCUUAAUGCACACGACAGUGACUUAGUUCAUGUUCUUCCCUUUUUUUUUUUCUUUCCAUCUCAAUUGAAAUGGUUUAAUUUUUUAGUUUUUCUAUUUUAAUCCCACACUUUUCUUUGUUCACCCCAAUACUUAAUCCUUAAGCUCUUAAGUUUUAUUAUUGUGUAAAAAGACUCAAAAUAUAUAUAUAUAGAAAACUUGACUUUUUUGUGACCAGCAUCUUAACAUUUGAAUGUGUAAACUGCAGACAUCGAGGCCGGAAUACAGUCAGAUUCUCGUAAAAAAGCCAGGUGGAGGUGGUUUUUGGCCGUACUAGCUGGAAAUCUCAUUGUUGGAUUGACAUUUGGUAUUUUGGAUGUUGAUUAUGGACUUUUUUUGUGACACAACAGGAUUUCUUCCCAUCCGUGUAUUUGUUGUAAUUAUAUGAUUAAACAACAGCUAUCGAUAUUGAACAAUUUUGUCUAUGGUGCUUGUUUCUACAUAAGCCGAGAAGCAGGGGGAGAACUUAAAGAGCAAGGCUUCCUUGAACUCCUGAAAAUUCUAGUAUUGGUCUUUCUUGACCGGCCUGUUCAUGAUGGUCUUAAUG
This 2172-nucleotide long non-coding RNA is filed under the name Prunus dulcis (almond). Its description in RNAcentral is "sRNA ncRNA". The record is from RNAcentral. Lineage: Eukaryota; Viridiplantae; Streptophyta; Magnoliopsida; Rosales; Rosaceae.